RNAcentral lists this ribosomal RNA (586 nucleotides) under Rana coreana (Korean brown frog). Its description in RNAcentral is "partial large subunit ribosomal RNA". It matches the Rfam family "Bacterial large subunit ribosomal RNA", at positions 1805 to 2620 of the family's 2925-position model. The record is from RNAcentral. Lineage: Eukaryota; Metazoa; Chordata; Amphibia; Anura; Ranidae.
UUCCAAAAACAUCGCCUCUUGCCAAUACAUAAGAGGUCCAGCCUGCCCAGUGACAAAGUUCAACGGCCGCGGUACCCUAACCGUGCGAAGGUAGCAUAAUCACUUGUUCUUUAAAUAGGGACUUGUAUCAACGGCACUACGAGGGUUAUACUGUCUCCUCUUUCCAAUCAGUGAAACUGAUCUCCCCGUGAAGAAGCGGGGAUUAUCAUAUAAGACGAGAAGACCCCAUGGAGCUUUAAACUCACCAUACACCUCUAUGUUACCAUAUCCCAUAGCACAAGAGACCUGUAUGUUAGUUUUAGGUUGGGGGGACCACGGAGCACAACUUAACCUCCAUAACAAAUGGGCUAACACCCUUAUCCACGAGACACAACUCUAAGAAUUACUAAACUAAUGCUUAUGACCCGAUAUUCGAUCAAUGAACCAAGUUACCCUGGGGAUAACAGCGCAAUCUACUUCAAGAGCUCAUAUCGACAAGUAGGUUUACGACCUCGAUGUUGGAUCAGGGUAUCCCGGUGGUGCAACCGCUACCAAUGGUUCGUUUGUUCAACGAUCAAAACCCUACGUGAUCUGAGUCCAGACCGGA